GAUGAACGCUGGCGGCGUGCCUAAUACAUGCAAGUCGAGCGAACAGACGAGGAGCUUGCUCCUCUGACGUUAGCGGCGGACGGGUGAGUAACAUGUGGCUAACCUACCUAUAAGACUGGGAUAAAUUCGGGAAACCGGAGCUAAUAACGGAUAAUAUAUUGAACCGCAUGGUUCAAUAGUGAAAGACGGUUUUGCUGUCACUUAUAGAUGGAUCCGCGCCGCAUUAGCUAGUUGGGAAGGUAACGGCUUACCAAGGCAACGAUGGGUAGCCGACCGAAGAGGGGAAUAGGCCAAAUUGGAACGGGGACACGGUCCGGACUCCUACGGGAGGCAGCGGUAGGGAAUCUGCCGCAAUGGGCGAAAGCUUGACGGAGCAACGCGGCUGGAGUGAGAAAGGUCUUCGGAUCGUAAAACUCUGUUAUUAGGGAAGAACAAAUGUGUAAGUAACUAUGCGCGUCUGGACGGUACCGAAGCAGAAAGCCACGGCAAACUACGU
This 496-nucleotide ribosomal RNA is filed under the name uncultured bacterium. RNAcentral describes it as "partial 16S ribosomal RNA". It matches the Rfam family "Bacterial small subunit ribosomal RNA", at positions 28 to 506 of the family's 1533-position model. The record is from RNAcentral.